GUCGACGGCCAUACCACCCUGAACGCGCCCCAUCUCCUCUGAUCUUGGAAGCUAAGCAGGGUCGGGCCUGCUUAGUGCUUGCAUGGGAGACCGCCUGGGAAUACCCGGUGCUCUGGCUU
Molecule: ribosomal RNA, 119 nt
Organism: Dasypus novemcinctus (nine-banded armadillo)
Lineage: Eukaryota; Metazoa; Chordata; Mammalia; Cingulata; Dasypodidae
Source: Ensembl